ACCUUUAAUGUAAGAAGCCAAGCUUGUUUGUUGCUCCUUGUUAUUAGCUGAAGAAUCCUGUAAAGUCAUCUUCCAUAUGCGUAUGCCUUUGUCUUGAGAUGAACUUACAAGAAGAAGACUAGUUUCACCGUUCACAUACACGGGCAAUGAGAGAUCUAAACUUCUAAUCCAGUCUGUAUGGGCCUUUAACUCGCAAGCACGAAGAAACUACGACAUAAUAAAAACAAUUCACGUAAACAGGCAAUGAGAGAUCUAAACUCCUAAUCCAGUCCGUAUGAGCCUUUAACUCACAAGCGCGAAGAAACUAGGGACCCAAAAAAAAAAAAG
RNAcentral lists this long non-coding RNA (327 nucleotides) under Nicotiana benthamiana. RNAcentral's name for it is "long non-coding RNA (NBEN_LNC041539)". Lineage: Eukaryota; Viridiplantae; Streptophyta; Magnoliopsida; Solanales; Solanaceae. The record is from RNAcentral.